RNAcentral lists this small RNA (589 nucleotides) under Pan troglodytes (chimpanzee). RNAcentral describes it as "retained intron". Lineage: Eukaryota; Metazoa; Chordata; Mammalia; Primates; Hominidae. The record is from RNAcentral.
GGGCCGACGGCGGUGGGCGGUGCGUUGCGCAGGCUCGGGCCUCCCGCUCGCCGCUGCGUUGGGACCGCGCAGCCCGGUGUGUGCAGUGGCCUCAGGGAUCCGGAAAGUCUAGGAAUGAACUUCUAACAUCCAGUAAUGGGGACCUGGAACCUGGGUGUACUAGAGUGCCGCGCGUAGGGCUCCAGAUCGCUGGCUUCUGCGCUUUCUUCCUCUCCAAAGUUGAGUAUCUCCUAUCUGUGUCCUCAUACAUACUACCGCCUGAGGUGCCAUGGCCCCCAAGCCGGGGGCCGAGUGGAGCACAGCCCUGUCCCAUCUGGUGCUGGGAGUGGUGUCUCUGCACGCAGCCGUGAGCACAGCCGAGGUGAGUACACUGGGGCUGAGCAGGGGCGCAUCCCCAUACCUCCCAAACCCCAAGGACCUAGUUUCCUGAAUUAGAGAGAGGUUGGUGGGAAGUACGUCUAAGACCAGGUCUCCAUGGAAGCCCCAAACCCUUUCCUGUUUAAAAGGGUGGCCCCGGCCUCUUUUUCCCACGUGUUCUCCCUUCCCUGUGUUGACAGGCAAGUCGAGGGGCUGCUGCUGGCUUCCUGCU